GGGGCUGUCCCGGUUUCGACGUGGGUUCGGAAUCGGAGCGGUGCAUGUCGAGCUUGAGUGACGCUCGUAAAUCUCCAUUCACUAAACUAACUGCAAACGACGAACGUUUCGCACUCGCCGCUUAAAUACCGGUGAGCCUUGCAACAGCACGCUGAUGGGCUGGGCAAGGGGGCCGCAAGGCCUCCAGGCUGCAAGGGAAUUUACAUCAGCUGGUGGCAUGCCGGGUACCUUGGCAUGGCAUGAGAUUCAAGGGUGCUGGCAUCUUGCGUAGCGUGUGCCUGCGCGAUGUGAGAUGUGAGAUUCAAAACAGAGCACUAAACAUGUAGAUCUGCCCGAAGAAGGCUUGCGGACGCGGGUUCAAUUCCCGCCAGCUCCACCA
This is a non-coding RNA of Acidovorax sp. JS42, 379 nucleotides long. NCBI's taxonomy places the organism in Bacteria, Pseudomonadati, Pseudomonadota, Betaproteobacteria, Burkholderiales, Comamonadaceae. The record is from Rfam.